This 23-nucleotide non-coding RNA is filed under the name Arabidopsis thaliana (thale cress). The record is from RNAcentral. Lineage: Eukaryota; Viridiplantae; Streptophyta; Magnoliopsida; Brassicales; Brassicaceae.
CUCGGGUACUAUGAGCUCUAACU